GCGUUGGAGAGAGGACUGAGGCUCACACUAUCAGCACAGCUUCUCAAUGGGGGGACGCAGCCAAGAGCAGACAGAGCAGUCAUUCCAUUGGAGCCUUCCGCUGAGCGCGUGAGAAGGAGACGACAAGUGAGGGGGGGGUAAAUUAGCUCCCUGUCAUCACAACAUAGGAGUUCUACAGACGGAGAAGAGAAACAGACUGAAGAAAGGGGAGGACAAGAGAUCUGCUCGUAUGUGGCUGAUACAGCAGUGACAUGAUCAGCCUCCCAUCCCUCAAAUCCUGGCCAGUUUGUGACUUAGACCCCUGGGUGUUUUGCUUUUGGUGAGUGUUUGUGUUGCCACGGAUUUCAAAAGGAACUGAGCAGCGGGGGUCCAGAGGUGAGAAAAUUGGAGGAGAAAGAACAGCAUUUUACCUCCUUUUGUGUGGAGUUCGGCAUACCUGGUACUGGAAUUUUCAGGCGGGAAUCCCUGGCUUCAAAGUAUGGAUGGAUUUAAGACAGAGGCGUGAGUCUGCUGGGCAGGCAGGCGGUUUUUCUGAGCUCCUUUCCUCCUGAACACACUGCUCAGACUCGGCCUUACCAUGUCCUGGUUGUUGGCCAUGUGGAUUAGCCUUGGCUUCCUGCUACUGUGCCAGGCCACACUCUACCAGACCAUCCAGCAGCACCAUGUGGCCCGGCCCGGUCGCACUGACAUUCUCACCCUGGGGGCUUAUCGUUGGCCGUCAACAAAGCUCUUUCUGAACAGUGAUCCGGGCUAUCCAGCCUCUCUAGAAAUCCUGACGUCCUCACUACCCAGGGGAAUGUUUCAGGAAAGGAGCAUGAGAGAGGGAGGUACAUGUGAGGUGAUUGCUGCCCACCGAUGCUGUAACAAGAAUCGUAUUGAGGAGCGCUCUCAAACAGUCAAGUGCUCCUGUUUACCGGGGAAAGUGGCUGGGACGACACGCAACAAACCCUCCUGUGUGGAUGCGUCCAUUGUAAUCGGGAAAUGGUGGUGUGAGAUGGAACCAUGUCUGGAGGGAGAAGAGUGUAAGACUCUGCCUGACAACUCUGGAUGGAUGUGCUCCUCUGGGAACAAAAUCAAGACCACAAGAAACACCCAGCCAUACUCCCCUUUUUAGCUUCCGGAAGCAAAAUGCAGAGGAUGCAUCAACAGAAAUUGAGCUGCAUUCUUGCUUCUGUAAAGAUUCAUCCCAGGACCUAACAGAGAGCUCCCAUUGCAGAGCUGCGUGCCAGGCUCUUCCCCUCUUCCCCCUUUCUCUUCCCACUGAACGGACAAAAACUAUUACAUCCGCAGCUACCGACUGGAUUACCUGGGACCACAGAAAGGAUAUCCACCCAGAUAAAACAGCUUUGCUCACGUGGUGCCAAGGAUUUGAAACCAGACUAAUCCCCUGUUUGAUCAAUGAGCCCCAUGUUGGUGACUCUCCUCUUCCGCACAGCUGUGGCCAGUUUCCGACCUACUCUUUCUCUGUUUCCCUCAACCUGUUCCCCCCUCUAAAACUGAAACAGCUUAGAAGGGGUUAUUUAGGGGUUGUUAACAUUACUUGAUAGAUACUCGUUCCCACCGGAAGGUAAACCAGUUGAGGAGCUUACAUGGACCUGAACAUGAACACAGAACUGAGGGCGCAAGGAGGGAAAUGACAUUGCUACCCUUUUAUUUCUGUGUGGAAGGCAUUUGUAUGUGACCCGCUACCCCAGCAGGACGGCCUUGGACUACAUGGAGGAGAUUUUGUUGAAAAAAGCUGGAUUUUUUUAGUGAAGUAGACCACUUAUACUGAGUUAAUGAAAAAUCUUUGAGAGGCUGUAGGGUCUGUCCUCACGGCCUCACCUUCCUCCUUUGUGAUGGACAUUUUGACUUUUAUUCGAGGGCAUGCCCGGUGUAAAUUCAUGAGCACUUCUUUUCUUUGUUAUGUAAGAUAAUUUGUGUAUAUAUACAUAUAUAAAUACAUGACAUAUAAGGUGACAGAUCCAAGAAGCUGAAAAACAUAUUUAGGACUCUAGUAGGAGCUUGAGCCCCAUGGUGGAAUAUUGAUCAGCCACUGACUACAGUAGUACAGUUUAUCCAGAGGCUGAUGUCCCAGUAUGGUGUGUAUAGCAUUAUAUGCUUGCAUUGGAAAAAGCCACAACAGAGUCAUAAAAAUAAGUAUUGGUCACUUUUGUCAUUCAGCAAUGUCCUUGGUUAAGUCAGAAAAUGCUUGUAAAAAUGAGGAAAACACUGUAUAGAACUGCCUCACAAAAGAAAGCAGCACUAACAACAACCCCUGAGCCUUCAACUCAGACACAUUAGGGACAUGAAACAGCAGCAGAAAAACUUGGACCAUAAUCGGACAGUUAGUGUCUAUUUCUGUUGUGGACGGUGUUCACGGGCGACUGCUUGACUGUGUUUCUUGUGUAGAUCACCCUCUCACACACCAGAGAGAGAUGAUUUAUUCAAAAGAACAGUGAGAAAGUAGUAGUCACAAUGGAGAAACAUACAGUUAUCCACCAGUAGAUAUAAGUACAUUACAGGACAGCCUUAUGAGAAAUAAAAAUGGUUUUCUAUACUGA
Molecule: RNA transcript, 2543 nt
Organism: Micropterus salmoides (largemouth bass)
Lineage: Eukaryota; Metazoa; Chordata; Actinopteri; Centrarchiformes; Centrarchidae
Gene name: chemokine-like protein TAFA-1
Exons: 7
Source: RefSeq, a predicted model, not a curated record